GAUGAACGCUGGCGGCGUGCUUAACACAUGCAAGUCGAACGAAGCAUUUAGGACAGAUUACUUCGGUUUGCAGUUCUUUAUGACUGAGUGGCGGACGGGUGAGUAACGCGUGGGUAACCUGCCUUGUACUGGGGGAUAGCAGCUGGAAACGGCUGGUAAUACCGCAUAAGCGCACAAUGUUGCAUGACAUGGUGUGAAAAACUCCGGUGGUAUAAGAUGGACCCGCGUCUGAUUAGCUAGUUGGUGAGAUAACAGCCCACCAAGGCGACGAUCAGUAGCCGACCUGAGAGGGUGACCGGCCACAUUGGGACUGAGACACGGCCCAGACUCCUACGGGAGGCAGCAGUGGGGAAUAUUGCACAAUGGAGGAAACUCUGAUGCAGCGACGCCGCGUGAGUGAAGAAGUAAUUCGUUAUGUAAAGCUCUAUCAGCAGGGAAGAUAGUGACGGUACCUGACGAAGAAGCUCCGGCUAAAUACGUG
RNAcentral lists this ribosomal RNA (481 nucleotides) under uncultured bacterium. RNAcentral's name for it is "partial 16S ribosomal RNA". It matches the Rfam family "Bacterial small subunit ribosomal RNA", at positions 28 to 507 of the family's 1533-position model. The record is from RNAcentral.